RNAcentral lists this long non-coding RNA (511 nucleotides) under Theobroma cacao (cacao). Its description in RNAcentral is "long non-coding RNA (TCAC_LNC005781)". Lineage: Eukaryota; Viridiplantae; Streptophyta; Magnoliopsida; Malvales; Malvaceae. The record is from RNAcentral.
AGGCUGUUUAUUGUCACACACACAAACACAUUUAACCUCUGACAACACAGCCAUUCCUCGGCGUUGGCUGAGUCCCAGUUUCACGUGGUGGCCAGCGUGAAGUGUACUCAAAUCCUACAUCGAGAGUUAUCCUACGUGCCUCUCCAAUCGAGGUAAGCUCAAUAAUUGGGAACCGUGCCACUCUAAUUAGGCUAGCCCACAGAAUCCCCGUCACUGCAAUGCCCACUUUAUAAUCCACCAACUAAUAAAAUCACAAUAAUAUGACAUGGCUCACUUAACACAUUCAAGGCAAAUCAAAGCAGUUCACAUAUUCUUUAAAUCAUAAAAAUAACCAAUCAUACCCACAUUUAUCAUAAGCCAUUUAAUGUAAAAUCAUGGAUAAACAACACAAUCAUAGUAUAGGUCUCCAAUUACUCUAUUUUUGAAAUCAUUAUUAAAUUUUCAAAAAAUUUUAUAAAAUUAUUUUAUAAAAUCUCAUUUUCCCAUAAAACACAAUAAUUUUCCAAUUAAA